UAGGGAAUUUUGGACAAUGGGCGCAAGCCUGAUCCAGCCAUGCCGCGUGUGGGAAGAAGGCCUUCGGGUUGUAAACUGCUUUUGUACGGAACGAAACGACUCUGUCUAAUACAUGGGGCUAAUGACGGUACCGUAAGAAUAAGCACCGGCUAACUACGUGCCAGCAGCCGCGGUAAUACGUAGGGUGCGAGCGUUAAUCGGAAUUACUGGGCGUAAAGCGUGCGCAGGCGGUUUUGUAAGACAGAGGUGAAAUCCCCGGGCUCAACCUGGGAAUUGCCUUUGUGACUGCAAGGCUUGAGUGCGGCAGAGGGGAAUGGAAUUCCGCGUGUAGCAGUGAAAUGCGUAGAUAUGCGGAGGAACACCGAUGGCGAAGGCAAUCCCCUGGGCCUGCACUGACGCUCAUGCACGAAAGCGUGGGGAGCAAACA
Molecule: ribosomal RNA, 427 nt
Filed under: uncultured bacterium
Lineage: Bacteria
Description: bacterial SSU rRNA
Rfam family: Bacterial small subunit ribosomal RNA
Source: RNAcentral